Vigna unguiculata (cowpea) is the source of this 1215-nucleotide RNA transcript. It is a transcript of the gene named 65-kDa microtubule-associated protein 5-like, with no coding region annotated. The record is from RefSeq and is a predicted model, not a curated record. Lineage: Eukaryota; Viridiplantae; Streptophyta; Magnoliopsida; Fabales; Fabaceae.
GUUUUUUAACCUUUCCCUCCAGAGUUUUACAUUCUCGCUCUACUCAAGGGUUUCCACACAUUUCCAAACUCACAUUCUCGUUUUUGUUCAGAAUGCUCUGUCAAACUCGAUUUGGAUUCAUCAAAUCAGCAUUCAUCUUCUCAUCUCCGUCCAAGGUUUUACACUCACUCUCCUAAAGUUUUUUCUAAAUUUCCAAACACUAGCAUUUUCAUUUUUGUUCAGAAAGGUCCCUCAUCAAAUUGGCGUUCUGAAAGCUCAUUCUCCAAGUUAGAUUUGGAUCCAUCAAACCGGCGUUCAUCUUCGUCCUCGCUCGUCCGCUAGUGUUCGUCGUCUCCGUUAUCGCCCAUCGGCCAGUGGUCGUUGAUCAGUGCUCGUUGGCCGUUGCUCAUCUCUCAGUGAUCGUCUCUUAGGACUCAUGGAUGAGUUUCCCAUACCACAAAGAGAAAAUCCAAAAUCAAUUCAGUUCAUACCUUCAUAGGGGUUUGCUAACGGGAUGUUUGCUCUAGUCCUUUCAUUUGGCCUUCUCCUCACUGCAUUAAGAAGCAGAAAGGCUAGGUCAUGGCACUAUGGUAGUGAAACAUAUAAUCUGUUACAGUAGCAGACUAUUUAUCUCUUUCUUUUUGGGAUGAGAUUGGGGAGAGUAACAAUGAUAGAGACAACAUGCUUCUUCAACUGGAGCAAGAAUGCCUGGACAUUUAUCACAAGAGAGUUGAGGAGACGAGGAAGCACAAGGCUGACAUGUAUCAAUGGUUGGCAGAUGCUGAAGCUCAAGCAACUAAUAUUGUUUCUUCCAUUGGGGAAUCUACGGUACUCCCACGGAAACAGUCACCAGAUUUGAAGAAACACAAGUGCAUCAGGGUAGAUUUCUCUCCUAAGGGUUAAAAGAGUGAGCGAGUAUCUCAAUGCUUCCUAAACUAAAUUCCACCUUUAUUCCUACUUUUGCUUUGUUUGAUGCUCCUCAUAAUUGUAGAUAACAUGUGGAAUGAUGGCUUCUCAAUUUUAGGCUUUUCUUGAUGCUACUGAGUGUCUCUAUAAAACACAAAAGCUUGCUGGCAAACCUGCUGGAAUUAUCUCCAACACUCGAUACCAAGGUGGUCAAGAAGAGACUACAAUGUAAUAACACCCUCUUUCUGAUUGUAAUUUCUUGUAAUUCCCAAUUCAUUGAUUUGAAUGAAAGAGUUUAUUUUCUUAAAUUUUCAGUACAUUAUUUACUGA